CUCUUUUUGAUAAUAAUUUAAAGUAGGGCCUGCCCACUGAAAUUUUAAAGGGCCGCAGUAUCUUAACUGUGCAAAGGUAGCAUAAUCAUUAGUUUUUUAAUUGAAAGCUGGAAUGAAUGGUUUGAUGAAAAAAUAUCUGUUUCAAUAUUAUUUUUUUAAAACUUUAUUUUUAAGUUAAAAAGCUUAAAUAUUUAUAAAAGACGAGAAGACCCUAUAGAGUUUAAUUAAUAAAUGAAUUUUAAGUUUAAGAAUUAAUUUUUUAAUAUUUAUUUAUUAAUUUGAUUGGGGUGAUUAAAAAAUUAGAAAAACUUUUUUUAAAUAGUUACAUUUAUUUAUGAUUAUUUGAUCCAAAUAAUUGAUUAUAAGAAUAAAUUACCUUAGGGAUAACAGCGUAAUUUUUUUU
This 403-nucleotide ribosomal RNA is filed under the name Scymnus suturalis. Its description in RNAcentral is "partial 16S ribosomal RNA". Lineage: Eukaryota; Metazoa; Arthropoda; Insecta; Coleoptera; Coccinellidae. The record is from RNAcentral.